GGCCUACCAGGGGAUGAGCUAGCCGAGUUGAGAACNAUUGGCCCAAUGGGANUGGACCCGGCCCANAUUCCUACGGAGGCAGCAGUAGGAAUCUUCCCCAAUGGCGCAAGCUGAUGAGCAACACGGGNNAGGAAGAAGGUUUCGGCUCGUAAAGCUCUGUUGUUAAAGAAGAACACGUAUGAGAGUAACUGUUCAUACGUUGACGGUAUUUAACCAGAAAGUCACGGCUAACUACGUGCCAGCAGCCGCGGUAAUACGUAGGUGGCAAGCGUUAUCCGGAUUUAUUGGGCGUAAAGAGAGUGCAGGCGGUUUUCUAAGUCUGAUGUGAAAGCCUUCGGCUUAACCGGAGAAGUGCAUCGGAAACUGGAUAACUUGAGUGCAGAAGAGGGUAGUGGAACUCCAUGUGUAGCGGUGGAAUGCGUAGAUAUAUGGAAGAACACCAGUGGCGAAGGCGGCUACCUGGUCUGCAACUGACGCUGAGACUCGAAAGCAUGGGUAGCGAACAGGAUUAGAUACCCUGGUAGUCCAUGCCGUAAACGAUGAGUGCUAGGUGUUGGAGGGUUUCCGCCCUUCAGUGCCGGAGCUAACGCAUUAAGCACUCCGCCUGGGGAGUACGACCGCAAGGUUGAAACUCAAAGGAAUUGACGGGGGCCCGCACAAGCGGUGGAGCAUGUGGUUUAAUUCGAAGCUACGCGAAGAACCUUACCAGGUCUUGACAUCUUGCGCCAACCCUAGAGAUAGGGCGUUUCCUUCGGGAACGCAAUGACAGGUGGUGCAUGGUCGUCGUCAGCUCGUGUCGUGAGAUGUUGGGUUAAGUCCCGCAACGAGCGCAACCCUUGUUACUAGUUGCCAGCAUUAAGUUGGGCACUCUAGUGAGACUGCCGGUGACAAACCGGAGGAAGGUGGGGACGACGUCAGAUCAUCAUGCCCCUUAUGACCUGGGCUACACACGUGCUACAAUGGACGGUACAACGAGUCGCGAACUCGCGAGGGCAAGCAAAUCUCUUAAAACCGUUCUCAGUUCGGACUGCAGGCUGCAACUCGCCUGCACGAAGUCGGAAUCGCUAGUAAUCGCGGAUCAGCAUGCCGCGGUGAAUACGUUCCCGGGCCUUGUACACACCGCCCGUCACACCAUGAGAGUUUGUAACACCCAAAGUCGGUGGGGUAACCUUUAGGAGCCAGCCGCCUAAGGNGACAG
Molecule: ribosomal RNA, 1198 nt
Filed under: Limosilactobacillus fermentum
Lineage: Bacteria; Bacillati; Bacillota; Bacilli; Lactobacillales; Lactobacillaceae
Description: bacterial SSU rRNA
Rfam family: Bacterial small subunit ribosomal RNA
Source: RNAcentral